UUUCGAUCACGCGCGGAAAAUAGAAGGAGACAAGAAGGGGCUUGCGCGCUCCCUUUACAAUCUAGUUUAGUUUAGUUUAGUUUAGCACUCGCUGCCGACGAAGUAAGAAAAAUGCCAAAGAAAGGCGCGCCCGCUGCACCUUUCGAGUGGCAGCGCUACACUACUACUACGGGUGGGCAAAUAAGGGUUGAGGGAAUUAGAUUAGCAUGGUGAUAGGCCUAGUAAAGGCCAGCUAGCCUACUUAAUAACUCGUGACAGCGACGGCGACCGGAGAAGGUCGGAUCGAGUCGAGUCGAGUGCAGGGCAGGUUGAGUGCGGUGGGGUGGUGACGGGCGGAAAGGGGAGGGGCGGCUUUCCUUGGAAGCGGCCGGCAGGCCAGGGUGGGUGCCGCCGGCGCGACUGCGGCGGCCGCCGCCGCCGGCCCUAGGCCCCGACCCCUAGCCGCCUAGGGCGCCCCGUGUAUGUACGACGGGGGUACCUGGUCGAGGGGCUGAGGGAGGGGAGGAGGAGGUGUAGCGGCGUCCUCAGCGCCGCCAGCCACUUCGCCUCCGGCGGCGGGCGCCCCAGGGGCCUCGGCAGCGGCUCCCGCCGACGCCCGCGCCGCCUCGACGAGGCCGCCCACCUCCUCGACCUCCGCCGGCGCCGCGCCGACCGCUACCUCUUCCUCCGGCGCCUCCUCAGUCGCGACCCGGACGUCCCGCUCGACCUCCGGCUCGCCCGGAGCCGGCUCUGCCGCCGGUCGCUCCGGUACGAGUACUAGCUCGCGGACGUCGCCCUCUUCCGGCGCCGGGUCUACCUCCGGGCGGUCAAGGCGGCGAUGCGGCUCCCGGCGCGGCUGGUGCUCGCGCUCCACGUCCUCCUCGAGCGGAGCGAGAGGCUGGAGCGGCGCAGGAUGGUGAGCGCCGAGGUCAGGGUGCCCUAGCUGGGGCUGUGUAAGAGGCUGCUCCUCCUGCUCCUCGAGAUGCUCCUCGUCGCGCCCGUGCGCCUGGUCUAGCUGGACCAGUGGGGGCUCCGUCUCCCCCUGCCGCGGCUUAACAAUCAGUCACGACCGUACCUCCACUUUCGGUACCAACUGCUGUUACUACUUCUAGUUGUCGUCAAGUGGUGGGGACACCUCUUUCUCAAGCUCAUGUGCCACCUACAAUCCACGCGCUCGGGCUUCUACCGCCGGCACCGGCACCACCCCCUCAUGCACCCCCUACAUCGGCCGUUACGUCCCCCAAACAUACGCUCCCACCUCCGCGACCUCCGCCUGUCUCGUCGUUACGUAUCUCUCUAACGCCGCGACGCCCGCCUCUCUCGUGUCAACCAGUACCGUUCCCUCUACCGAGCAGCUGAGACGACCCUUCACCAGAGACUCUCCUUUUCGUAACAAUUGUUCCGACAACAGGGCCGGUUCUCUAAGAGCCGUAAUCCUUAAACGUUCACCAACGAGAGGCAUUAGAAAACCUCUUCUUCGAGAUGAUGGUCCAUAUGCAAACCGAACAGUUGAUGCAAGGAACCGGAGGACGACGAGGAGCUGUCUAGGUGGUGCAACUCAGGUACCGCCGCAGACGUAUCCGGUGUCGUUACUGGUGUCGGAGGCGGUAGGGUAUCGGUUUGUGUAGCGUCAUAACCGCUACAUUCAAAACCGAAAGUUCGAAACUCGAACGACAUAUCACACAAUAACUCUGAUGAUCCGAACGUAUCGAACAUUAGACCUCGAUUGACUGCACGCCACUCAACACCUCAGAGACUACAAAGGUCACGACAGAGGCAGAGGAGGAGCCGUUCAUUUACGACACAUGAAGUGAGAAGUCUAAACAUGAAGAAAACUAGAACUUGAUCGUAGC
RNAcentral lists this ribosomal RNA (1832 nucleotides) under Triticum aestivum (bread wheat). RNAcentral describes it as "partial small subunit ribosomal RNA". Lineage: Eukaryota; Viridiplantae; Streptophyta; Magnoliopsida; Poales; Poaceae. The record is from RNAcentral.